GACUCGGAUAUUUCACUGUACGCUUAUACUUCACGACUUGGAUAUUUCACUGUAUGCUUAUACUUCACAAGUCGGUUAUUCCCCACUGUAGGAUUCCACUUGAUACACACUCAAGCGUAGUUAGAUGUAUGUCUGUGCUUGUAUAGAUGCAUAUAAAUAAUGAUUGAAGGACUUAGGAAGGCUUGUCCUCCCUAUUUCCUUUUCUUCGUUGAGAUGUGGUCUGGUGGGAUCGGAUGUCCAUCCGAAGGUCGUUUGAUUCAUUAGUUAUAUAUUAUGUACACAAGCAUAGACUUAUGGGUUUACUUCAGUUAAUUCAGUUAUGAGCCUCUACCUCUAGUUCAACACUUACAUUAGAAACCCACUAUUUGGAAGUCUCUACCCACUAUUUGGGAUGCAUCUUCAGGACACGGCCUUCUCUGUCGUCUAGUUGGUAACCAGAGUCUCCUGUAGGGAGAGCGGACAUUGUGUGUAUAGAUCUAUACGGGAUUGACACCCCCGCACCCUGACUGCUAGGUAUAGUCCACAACCUACCAAGCCAAGGGGUGACAAAUGUCACAUUUUAUAGACGCUUGUAGGGCGUCUGGAACUAUUGUCAGUAUGGUUACGAGUAUCCCGGGUUACCUUAUAAUUUAUGGCCUUAAGGUAACGGUAUUUCGCCAGCAAUUUACACUAUCUGCUGGUAAUUCAUUUUCAGAGUCACACUGUUUUGACCUUACAAGACGUAUCUUUUGCUUGAUACUGUUUGGGGUCGGUAUUCACUGUUUUGACCUUACAAGACGUAUCUUUCAUUUG
Molecule: long non-coding RNA, 792 nt
Filed under: Lactuca sativa (garden lettuce)
Lineage: Eukaryota; Viridiplantae; Streptophyta; Magnoliopsida; Asterales; Asteraceae
Description: long non-coding RNA (LSAT_LNC007464)
Source: RNAcentral